AACGAACGCUGGCGGCAGGCCUAACACAUGCCAGUCGAGCGCGCCCUUCGGGGUGAGCGGCGGACGGGUGAGUAACGCGUGGGAACGUGCCCUUUUCUACGGAAUAGCCUCGGGAAACUGAGAGUAAUACCGUAUACGCCCUUUGGGGGAAAGAUUUAUCGGAAAAGGAUCGGCCCGCGUUGGAUUAGGUAGUUGGUGGGGUAAUGGCCUACCAAGCCGACGAUCCAUAGCUGGUUUGAGAGGAUGAUCAGCCACACUGGGACUGAGACACGGCCCAGACUCCUACGGGAGGCAGCAGUGGGGAAUCUUAGACAAUGGGGGCAACCCAGAUCUAGCCAUGCCGCGUGAGUGAUGAAGGCCUUAGGGUUGUAAAGCUCUUUCAGCUGGGAAGAUAAUGACGGUACCAGCAGAAGAAGCCCCGGCUAACUCCGUG
Molecule: ribosomal RNA, 433 nt
Filed under: uncultured bacterium
Lineage: Bacteria
Description: partial 16S ribosomal RNA
Rfam family: Bacterial small subunit ribosomal RNA
Source: RNAcentral